RNAcentral lists this ribosomal RNA (328 nucleotides) under uncultured fungus. Its description in RNAcentral is "eukaryotic LSU rRNA". The stretch from base 1 to 114 matches the Rfam family "5.8S ribosomal RNA", at positions 42 to 154 of the family's 154-position model. The record is from RNAcentral. Lineage: Eukaryota; Fungi.
AACGCAGCGAAGGGCGAAAUGUAAUGUGAAUUGCAGAACCCCCGUGAAUCAUCGAAUCUUUGAACGCACCUUGCGCCCUGAGGUAUUCCUCUGGGCAUGCCUGUCUGAGUGUCGCGCACCUCUCAACCACGCGGUUUGCGCCGCGCUGGAUUGGACCGUGGCCGCUCUGGCCGACGCACGUCAGCCCGGCCGAAAUACAUGCGGAGCGCAUACGCGUCGCCGCGACGUCACCAGCGUUGUAGACUCCUCGCUGGCAUCGCCGUGGAGCGCGGCUCCCAAGCCCCUUUAUUUCGACCUCAGAUCAAGCAGGAUUACCCGCUGAACUUAA